Peromyscus californicus insignis is the source of this 588-nucleotide non-coding RNA. NCBI's taxonomy places the organism in Eukaryota, Metazoa, Chordata, Mammalia, Rodentia, Cricetidae. The record is from the annotation of a RefSeq genome assembly.
AUGAAAACAUAUGUUCCUACUUUAUUCAUGUUCUUGUGGCUGCAGCUCGAUGGGGUGAUCCAUGGUGAGCAGGUGGAGCAGCAUCCUUCCAUUCUUAGAGUCCAGGAGGGAGCCAGCGCAGUCAUCAACUGCACUUACACAGACAGUACCUCGUCCUACUUCCCUUGGUAUAAGCAAGGACCUGGAGAGCAUCCUCAGCUUAUCAUUGACAUUCGUUCAACUGUGGAAAGAAAGCAGGAGCAAAGACUGAUCCUUUUACAGGAUAAGAAAGCCAAACACUUCUCCCUGCACAUCCCAGAUACCCGGCCUGGAGACUCUGCCCUGUACUUCUGUGCUGCAAGUACACACUGCUCCACAUGCACCUGCAGCCUGUCCUCAAACCCGCCACGGGGCCUGGAGCCCGGUCCACAUCCUAUGUCACAGGCCUCGAGUGCAGCAUGUACAUCUGUGGUGCAGUUUGAAGGGAAAUCAGCAGAGGGCGCUGCCUCUUCGGAUGUGGUUAAUGUCUGCAUCCAGGUGGUGGCUUCACAUGACAGACUGUCACUGUGCAGAAGGAGGUCCUUGUUUAUGAGUGAGGAGUUUCAAUAA